AGAGUUUUGAUCCUGGCUCAGAAUGAACGUUGGCGGCGUGGAUUAGGCAUGCAAGUCGGACGGGCCGCAAGGCCAGUGGCGUAAGGGUGAGUAAGGCGACGGCAAUCAUCCCCACGGUUGGGUAUAGCCGCGAGAAAUCGCGGGUAAUCCCCAGCGACGCACGGCGUCGGCAUCGACGCCCUGCCAAAGGCUCGCCGCCGUGGGACGAGCCGUCGUGGUAUUAGGUUGUUGGCGGGGUAACGGCCCACCAAGCCUGCGAUGCCUACCGGGCGUGCGAGCGUGGCCCGGCACACUGGGACUGAGACACUGCCCAGACUCCUACGGGAGGCUGCAGUCGAGAAUCUUCGGCAAUGGGCGCAAGCCUGACCGAGCGACGCCGCGUGGAGGACGAAGGCCUUCGGGUUGUAAACUCCUGUCGAGGGGAAGGAAGGGCCCGCGAGGGCCUUGACCGCUCCCUGGAGGAAGCACGGGCUAAGUUCGUGCCAGCAGCCGCGGUAAGACGAACCGUGCGAACGUUAUUCGGAAUCACUGGGCUUAAAGCGCGUGUAGGCGGGUCGGUGCGUCGGCCGUUGAAAUCCCCCGGCUCAACCGGGGAAGUG
This 599-nucleotide ribosomal RNA is filed under the name uncultured Planctomycetota bacterium. Its description in RNAcentral is "bacterial SSU rRNA". It matches the Rfam family "Bacterial small subunit ribosomal RNA", at positions 8 to 623 of the family's 1533-position model. The record is from RNAcentral. Lineage: Bacteria; Pseudomonadati; Planctomycetota.